This 1202-nucleotide unclassified non-coding RNA is filed under the name uncultured Neocallimastigales. RNAcentral describes it as "partial contains small subunit ribosomal RNA, internal transcribed spacer 1, 5.8S ribosomal RNA, internal transcribed spacer 2, and large subunit ribosomal RNA". The stretch from base 648 to 1202 matches the Rfam family "Eukaryotic large subunit ribosomal RNA", at positions 1 to 553 of the family's 3401-position model. The record is from RNAcentral. Lineage: Eukaryota; Fungi; Neocallimastigomycota; Neocallimastigomycetes; Neocallimastigales.
UUUCCGUAGGUGAACCUGCGGAAGGAUCAUUAAAAAAUUGGGUGACUGUAAUUUAGGUUAACCCAUUAAUAAUAUCCUACCCUUUGUGAAUUUGUUUGUUAUGUAAAAUUUUUUGUCUAUCCCUAAAGAAAGGUUGGAUAAGUGUAAUAGCUUAAAAAACUUUUUUUUAGGGAAUGGCUUAAAGACUUUUAUUUAAAAUUAAACUUUUUGUAUUCAUUUGUCUAAAAUUAAAUUUUUAAAUAAAUAAUUUAAAAACAACUUUUGACAAUGGAUCUCUUGGUUCUCGCAACGAUGAAGAACGCAGCAAAAUGCGAUAAGUAAUGUGAAUUGCAGAAUACGUGAAUCAUCAAAUCUUCGAACGCAUAUUGCACUUUUUUAGUUUACUAAAAAAGUAUGUCUGUUUGAGUAUCAGUAAAAUAUUCUCAUAAAAUCAUUUGAUUUUAUGGUUAUGAGUGUUUUACAACGAUAAACAAGUUGUUUCACUUUAAAUGGAUUUUAAUUGAAAUCGUCGGUUGGGAACGAUUUUAAUUUUUUUUAAAAAAUUGGAUAAAAUUUUCCCGUAAAAAGGAAUAAAGCUAUUUCAGUUUUUAGAAAUUUUAAUAGUUUCCAUACCGGUACAGUUAAAGGAAAUUUAUUUAUAAAUAACUUGAUCUCAAAUCAGAUAAGAGUACCCGCUGAACUUAAGCAUAUCAAUAAGCGGAGGAAAAGAAACUAACAAGGAUUCCCUUAGUAACGGCGAGUGAAGCGGGAAGAGCUCAAAUUUGAAAUCUUCAAGGUUCUACCUUGACGAAUUGUAGUUUAAAGAAGUGUUUUCUGUUAGAGGAGUGGCAAAAGUUCUUUGGAAUAGGACAUCAUAGAGGGUGAGAAUCCCGUAUUUGGUCAUUCUUUCUAGCUGUGUGAUACACUUUCAAAGAGUCGGAUUGUUUGGAAUGCAGUCCAAAAUGGGUGGUAAAUUUCAUCUAAAGCUAAAUAUUGGCGAGAGACCGAUAGCGAACAAGUACCGUGAGGAAAGAUGAAAAGAACUUUGAAAAGAGAGUUAAACAGUACGUGAAAUUGUCAAAAGGGAAGCGUUUGACACCAGUGUUGUUUUUCCGAAAAUCAAUUGUGCCUGGCUGGAUUUUGUAGGAGUUUGACCUUAUCAGCUUCUUCUGCUUUUUUCCGGUCUGUGCAAUGCACUUUUCGGUUAACAAGUCAACAUCAAU